This 497-nucleotide ribosomal RNA is filed under the name uncultured bacterium. Its description in RNAcentral is "partial 16S ribosomal RNA". It matches the Rfam family "Bacterial small subunit ribosomal RNA", at positions 28 to 507 of the family's 1533-position model. The record is from RNAcentral.
GAUGAACGCUGGCGGCGUGCCUAAUACAUGCAAGUCGAGCGAACGGACGAGAAGCCUGCUUCUCUGAUGUUAGCGGCGGACGGGUGAGUAACACGUGGAUAACCUACCUAUAAGACUGGGAUAACUUCGGGAAACCGGAGCUAAUACCGGAUAAUAUUUUGAACCGCAUGGUUCAAAAGUGAAAGACGGUCUUGCUGUCACUUAUAGAUGGAUCCGCGCUGCAUUAGCUAGUUGGUAAGGUAACGGCUUACCAAGGCAACGAUGCAUAGCCGACCUGAGAGGGUGAUCGGCCACACUGGAACUGAGACACGGUCCAGACUCCUACGGGAGGCAGCAGUAGGGAAUCUUCCGCAAUGGGCGAAAGCCUGAUGGAGCAACGCCUCGUGAGUGAUGAAGGUCUUCGGAUCGUAAAACUCUGUUAUUAGGGAAGAACAUAUGUGUAAGUAACUGUGCACAUCUUGACGGUACCUAAUCAGAAAGCCACGGCUAACUACGUG